RNAcentral lists this ribosomal RNA (442 nucleotides) under uncultured bacterium. RNAcentral's name for it is "partial 16S ribosomal RNA". It matches the Rfam family "Bacterial small subunit ribosomal RNA", at positions 338 to 795 of the family's 1533-position model. The record is from RNAcentral.
CCUACGGGAGGCAGCAGUGGGGGAUAUUGCACAAUGGGGGAAACCCUGAUGCAGCGACGCCGCGUGGGCGAAGAAGUAUUUCGGUAUGUAAAGCCCUAUCAGCAGGGAAGAAGAAAUGACGGUACCUGAGUAAGAAGCACCGGCUAAAGACGUGCCAGCAGCCGCGGCAAUACGUAUGGUGCAAGCGUUAUCCGGAUUUACUGGGUGUAAAGGGAGCGCAGGCGGCACGGCAAGCCUGAUGUGAAAGCCCGGGGCCCAACCGCGGGAUUGCGUUGGGAACUACCGGGCUGGAGUGACGGAGAGGUAGGCGGAAUGCCUAGUGUAGCGGUGAAAUGCGUAGAUAUUAGGCGGAACACCAGUGGCGAAGGCGGCCUACUGGACGGUGACUGACGCUGAGGCUCGAAAGCGUGGGGAGCAAACAGGAUUAGAUACCCCAGUAGUC